Molecule: ribosomal RNA, 468 nt
Filed under: uncultured bacterium
Lineage: Bacteria
Description: partial 16S ribosomal RNA
Rfam family: Bacterial small subunit ribosomal RNA
Source: RNAcentral
GACGAACGCUGGCGGCGUGCUUAACACAUGCAAGUCGAACGGAAAGGCCCUGCUUUUGUGGGGUGCUCGAGUGGCGAACGGGUGAGUAACACGUGAGUAACCUGCCCUUGGCUUUGGGAUAACUUCAGGAAACUGGGGCUAAUACCGGAUAGGAGCUCCUACUGCAUGGUGGGGGUUGGAAAGUUUCGGCGGUUGGGGUUGGACUCGCGGCUUAUCAGCUUGUUGGUGGGGUAGUGGCUUACCAAGGCUUUGACGGGUAGCCGGCCUGAGAGGGUGACCGGCCACAUUGGGACUGAGAUACGGCCCAGACUCCUACGGGAGGCAGCAGUGGGGAAUAUUGCACAAUGGGCGGAAGCCUGAUGCAGCAACGCCGCGUGCGGGAUGACGGCCUUCGGGUUGUAAACCGCUUUCGCCUGUGACGAAGCGUGAGUGACGGUAAUGGGUAAAGAAGCACCGGCUAACUACGUG